AGAUUGAACGCUAGCGGGAUGCUUUACACAUGCAAGUCGAACGGCAGCGCGGACUUCGGUCUGGCGGCGAGUGGCGAACGGGUGAGUAAUAUAUCGGAACGUGCCCAGUAGCGGGGGAUAACUACGCGAAAGCGUGGCUAAUACCGCAUACGCCCUACGGGGGAAAGGGGGGAUUCUUCGGAACCUCUCACUAUUGGAGCGGCCGAUAUCAGAUUAGCUAGUUGGUGAGGUAAAGGCUCACCAAGGCGACGAUCUGUAGCUGGUUUGAGAGGACGACCAGCCACACUGGGACUGAGACACGGCCCAGACUCCUACGGGAGGCAGCAGUAGGGAAUAUUGGACAAUGGGCAAAGCCUGAUCCAGCAAUGCCGCGUGAGUGAUGAAGGCC
RNAcentral lists this ribosomal RNA (388 nucleotides) under uncultured soil bacterium. RNAcentral's name for it is "bacterial SSU rRNA". It matches the Rfam family "Bacterial small subunit ribosomal RNA", at positions 26 to 416 of the family's 1533-position model. The record is from RNAcentral.